GGGCCCGCACAGCAGUGGAGCGUGUGGUUUAAUUCGAUGCUACACGAAGAACCUUACCAGGGUUUGACAUACAAGUAGUAGGGAAGGAAACUGGACCGACCUUCGGGAGCUUGCACAGGUGCUGCAUGGCUGUCGUCAGCUCGUGUCGUGAGAUGUUGGGUUAAGUCCCGCAACGAGCGCAACCCUUGUCAUUAGUUGCCAUCAUUUGGUUGGGCACUCUAAUGAGACUGCCGGUGACAAACCGGAGGGAAGGUGGGGAUGACGUCAAGUCCUCAUGGCCCUUAUGGGUAGGGCUUCACACGUCAUACAAUGGUCGGUACAGAGGGUUGCCAACCCGCGAGGGGGAGCUAAUCCCACAAAGCCGAUCGUAGUCCGGAUCGCAGUCUGCAACUCGACUGCGUGAAGUCGGAAUCGCUAGUAAUCGUGGAUCAGCAUGUCACGGUGAAUACGUUCCCGGGUCUU
This 462-nucleotide ribosomal RNA is filed under the name uncultured Rhodocyclaceae bacterium. RNAcentral describes it as "bacterial SSU rRNA". It matches the Rfam family "Bacterial small subunit ribosomal RNA", at positions 917 to 1382 of the family's 1533-position model. The record is from RNAcentral. Lineage: Bacteria; Pseudomonadati; Pseudomonadota; Betaproteobacteria; Rhodocyclales; Rhodocyclaceae.